UGACUUGGACAUAACUGAGACGUGUCAUAUCCAGAGGGGAAGCUUUGUACUCUAAAUUCUACCUUAUUCUCAUCAGACCCUCCUGGCGGUAUGAAUCAGUUCAGGUGUCGGGCCUGAUAAGAAUCCCCCAUCUCUGGCAAUUUGGGGAGUUCCUCUUGGAGAUAGUCCUUCUGUCAAACCAGGAGAAGUUCGGAUCAAGUUAGUCCUUUAGAUCUGCUGGUACUUUCUGAUCUGUGUUGUACAUGGUGGGAUUAUUUGUGCUUCUCUAACCUCACUUUUACCUAAAUUGUCUGAAUAUGUGAAGAAAGAAAGAAAUUAAUUUAACAGGCUAGGGAGGGAAAGGACUAAAUUACUCACGCGGUUACUAAAUCCACCUCCUGUAGGCACAGAAUGCAUGCUGUGUAGACUUGGUCAGAACGUACUCUUUUGAGUGAGGGCACGCAUGAUGUUUUGGACGAACACACCAAGAUCCCAUUUCCCUGAAAUCAGUUUUGCAGGUCUGUAGAACCCCCAGGUUUUCCGCCAGCUGUGGCCUGGAAGAGCAGCAAGCAGCGCAUCAUGGUCUGCGAGCCCGAGGUCUAAGCCUCAGAUGCCUAACAGUCCGCGAAUGAUAGGCUUGUAUGCGAAUCGGCAGUCAGGGACUAUCAUCCUUGUCACCUUUGAUCUUGAGUAUCACUAACAUUUGUUGACUUCUAGAGGGAGGAGUUAAGGUGGCCGGAAAGUAGGGGGACCAGGAUUUCCCUUGUCCCUCAAACACAGCUGUAUCAAGGUCAAAUCCCUUGGAACACCCAGGAAAUCAAGCUGCAGAGUGGCGGAAGGAUCUCCACAAGUGGAGAGAGACAGCUUGUUGACUUACAGAGGAAGUAGAGCAAAAACACAGUGAUGCACGUCAAGGUGGGGGACUCCUAAACGCACCCAGCCAAGUCUUCGCCUGCACACUGGAGGAAAAAAUGAUCCCUAAAUGGUUUUUCAUUCUAUGAGUCAAGCUCCAAUGCCUGUUUAUGAGCCAAGGGGACACUGUGGGGUAGUCCCGUGGAUCUGGACUCUGACCCUUUUCUAAGGCUUGAGUGAGCUGAGAAGGAAGAAGAGAGUUAAUACACCCCAGAGGGCAUGGAAUCAGCAGUCUCAUGACACUGCUAUUUUAAGACACUUCAAGAUUUGAAAUGAAUGAUUAAAGAUGGAACCAGCACAGCGAGAGGCAUCUCUUAUUCUGACCCCUCCAUAUACCAUCAGGAUGGCUGCUGAGGUGCCUGGGAGUCUUAGGGCCUCCUUCCAGAAACGAUGCCCCCUGCUGGCCCACAUGCAUGCAGUAGCUCACACACGCACGCACGCACACACACUCAUUCCUGAC
This is a long non-coding RNA of Prionailurus viverrinus (fishing cat), 1351 nucleotides long. RefSeq lists it as uncharacterized. The transcript has 3 exons. NCBI's taxonomy places the organism in Eukaryota, Metazoa, Chordata, Mammalia, Carnivora, Felidae. The record is from RefSeq and is a predicted model, not a curated record.